ACACUCCUGCGGGAGGCAGCAGUGGGGAAUCUUGCGCAAUGGGCGAAAGCCUGACGCAGCCAUGCCGCGUGAAUGAUGAAGGUCUUAGGAUUGUAAAAUUCUUUCACCGGGGACGAUAAUGACGGUACCCGGAGAAGAAGCCCCGGCUAACUUCGUGCCAGCAGCCGCGGUAAUACGAAGGGGGCUAGCGUUGCUCGGAAUUACUGGGCGUAAAGGGAGCGUAGGCGGACAUUUAAGUCAGGGGUGAAAUCCCGGGGCUCAACCUCGGAAUUGCCUUUGAUACUGGGUGUCUUGAGUAUGAGAGAGGUGUGUGGAACUCCGAGUGUAGAGGUGAAAUUCGUAGAUAUUCGGAAGAACACCAGUGGCGAAGGCGACACACUGGCUCAUUACUGACGCUGAGGCUCGAAAGCGUGGGGAGCAAACAGGAUUAGAUACCCUUGUAGUCCCAUGAU
This 452-nucleotide ribosomal RNA is filed under the name uncultured organism. RNAcentral's name for it is "partial 16S ribosomal RNA". It matches the Rfam family "Bacterial small subunit ribosomal RNA", at positions 333 to 801 of the family's 1533-position model. The record is from RNAcentral.